UUCUGUCAUUUUUUUCCGAUUACUCUGUUAGACUGAAGAGCUGAGCAUUCAGUCUGAGCAUUCCCUGACCCUGGUAAGGAGUUUGCCUACUGUAGUCAGACCACUGCUUGAUCUUUUUUUUCUUUUUGGACAAGCUCUUUUGCUCGUAAGUCCUCAUGAGGCAUUUGGAUUUGGGUUUUCUUGGGGUGCUAUUGGGUGUUGAGCUAUCAGAAUCUCCAGGUGAUGCUGAUCAGCUCCAAGAGCACUAUUUUGUGUGUGAAGCCAGGACUGGUUUUCCCCAUCUGCAUCACUUUGUACCUCUCUGCCAUUUUAUUGCUCCACGACUGAGUCGUGUAAGACCUUUCUAUGGUUCUUUGCUACCUGCCCUUCUCUUUGUGUCAGUAAUCUUGUAGGAUUUGCAAGCUUUCUCACCUCGCUGCUCAUCCGCCUUUCCCUGUCACGUCACACUGUUUUUCUCUUUAACUGCUUGUUGGGCUUACUAGAAAAGCAGAAAGCCUACUACUGGAGUGAGUGCCUAUUUUCAUUUUUUAAAUGAGACUUUGAAACAUAAGUACAGAUUAAGGGUAUCUAUCUCGUUGGCUAGAGGGAGGUACUAAAACCCUGCUUUCUAAUGAAAUACUUGAUUAGCCAUUUACACGAUUGCUUCCUUUUUGUGACUUUUGGUAAACUCAGUUCUUACCUGUUUGACUUAUUUUUUGAACUGGAGCCAAGUGUGUUCACCAUACGAGUAAAGCAAAGCACGGAUUUGAAACGGGGCACCUGUGGGAUCUAACCUUGAACAAGGAACCGGUCAGGCUGAGGGUGCGGUGCAGCUACUGCAGCAGCUGGACCAAAUGGUGAACAAAGGAAAUGUGGAGUCAGAAGGAAGAGGUCUCUCCAGGUUCUGGAGAAGGUACGAAUACUGCAGCUACGAGCAGAUGCAGUCCUGGCUCUGUCCGAGCCUGUGCCUGAUUCUGGCAGUUCAGGUGAUUCUACGUUCUCUUGAAGAAUGGGUACCUCUUUUCUGUGGUUAAACCAAAGUCUGCCAAGGCAAAGGAGCGUUCAGGCGUGUCCUUUUGUCUUGUGGUAAGGUGCAACAUUCCCAGGAAGUGUUCCUCUUCUGAGCUGUCUUUGGGGAAAAAACUCCUCACGGGAGGGUUACUGACCUCAGUCACAGACCUCAUAGGAUGUGGCUUUUAUCAGCUGAGGAGUGCCAUCUCCAGCCCAGUUUCUAAAGGAGUUUUACACACUCCCCCUUCUCGCGGGGCCUUCCUGGGAGGGACCUUCAGUCCCCUUAAGGCAAGUAUGGCCUUUAUUUGGCCGCUUAGCAACUGUGGCCUUUGUAACUUUGACUCCCAAAGACACCAUUUUAAACCGAAAUGAAAGUAGUCCCGCCAACAGUGGCUGGGCAUUGCUGACUAAAGGAGUGCUCUAAAGCUGUCGAAACAAGAGUGGUCUGUUCACUGCGCAGCACGUGUUGAACGUCGGCAGUAACUGUUUGUUUGAUAGGUGGGUUAGUUUUGGAAGGAAUAAAACUCCUUGUUAAUCAUAAUGUAUGCCAGUCCCCUUAACUAUUGAGACUAGACCGUUACGGCACAGGUUGUUCUUUACGUUUCCUCUAUUUUUUUGGUCUUCCUCUGUAUUAUUUUGUGCUGGGGAUGUGUCUUUCUGGUGGACAGAAAUUACCUUGUUGUUACAAUUCUCAGAGAAGUAUUUGAGGUACAAUGUGGGGUUUUUUUGUUGUUGUUGUUUCCCCAGCAUAAUCUUCUUGCCACUACAGCAUCUCUUUGUUGGAAAGAACUGACCUGGAAGUACUAAUGGUUGUGGAAAGGUAAACUUGUAGCGUGAAUGUCGGGUUGUAUUGUUUCUUUUGUAAUUCAGCUUUUCACAUUGCUUGUCUCCACUAUUAAAUGCUUUACAAUGAAA
This is a long non-coding RNA of Harpia harpyja (harpy eagle), 1905 nucleotides long. RefSeq lists it as uncharacterized. The transcript has 2 exons. Lineage: Eukaryota; Metazoa; Chordata; Aves; Accipitriformes; Accipitridae. The record is from RefSeq and is a predicted model, not a curated record.